Molecule: transfer RNA, 72 nt
Filed under: Toxocara canis (dog roundworm)
Lineage: Eukaryota; Metazoa; Nematoda; Chromadorea; Rhabditida; Toxocaridae
Rfam family: tRNA
About the family: Transfer RNA (tRNA) molecules are approximately 80 nucleotides in length. Their secondary structure includes four short double-helical elements and three loops (D, anti-codon, and T loops).
Source: Rfam by way of RNAcentral
GUGGCAGUAGCUCAGUGGUAGGUCUCUCGUCUCGCACGCGGGAAGACCUGGGUUCGAUUCCCAGCUGCUUCC